CCUACGGGAGGCUGCAGUGGGGAAUAUUGGGCAAUGGGCGCAAGCCUGACCCAGCAACGCCGCGUGAAGGAAGAAGGCUUUCGGGUUGUAAACUUCUUUUGUCAGGGAAGAGUAGAAGACGGUACCUGACGAAUAAGCCACGGCUAACUACGUGCCAGCAGCCGCGGUAAUACGUAGGUGGCAAGCGUUGUCCGGAUUUACUGGGUGUAAAGGGCGUGUAGCCGGGUUGACAAGUCAGAUGUGAAAGCCUGCGGCUUAACCGAGGAACUGCAUUUGAAACUGGCGAUCUUGAGUACUGGAGAGGCAGAUGGAAUUCCUAGUGUAGCGGUGAAAUGCGGAGAGAUUAGGAGGAACACCAGUGGCGAAGGCGGUCUGCUGGACAGCAACUGACGGUGAGGCGCGAAAGCGUGGGGAGCAAACAGGAUUAGAUACCCUAGUAGUC
This 442-nucleotide ribosomal RNA is filed under the name uncultured bacterium. Its description in RNAcentral is "partial 16S ribosomal RNA". It matches the Rfam family "Bacterial small subunit ribosomal RNA", at positions 338 to 795 of the family's 1533-position model. The record is from RNAcentral.